Molecule: ribosomal RNA, 255 nt
Filed under: uncultured bacterium
Lineage: Bacteria
Description: partial 16S ribosomal RNA
Rfam family: Bacterial small subunit ribosomal RNA
Source: RNAcentral
UACGUAGGGUGCAGGCGUUAAUCGGAAUUACUGGGCGUAAAGCGUGCGCAGGCGGUUAUGUAAGACAGAUGUGAAAUGCCCGGGCUUAACCUGGGAACUGCAUUUGUGACUGCAUGGCUAGAGUGUGUCAGAGGGGGGUAGAAUUCCACGUGUAGCAGUGAAAUGCGUAGAGAUGUGGAGGAAUACCAAUGGCGAAGGCAGCCCCCUGGGAUAACACUGACGCUCAUGGCACGAAAAGCGUGGGGAGCAAACAGG